This 429-nucleotide ribosomal RNA is filed under the name Corynebacterium durum. RNAcentral describes it as "bacterial SSU rRNA". It matches the Rfam family "Bacterial small subunit ribosomal RNA", at positions 28 to 450 of the family's 1533-position model. Lineage: Bacteria; Bacillati; Actinomycetota; Actinomycetes; Mycobacteriales; Corynebacteriaceae. The record is from RNAcentral.
GACGAACGCUGGCGGCGUGCUUAACACAUGCAAGUCGAACGGAAAGGCCCACCACUUUUUGGUGGUGGGUACUCGAGUGGCGAACGGGUGAGUAACACGUGGGUGAUCUGCCCCGCACUGCGGGAUAAGCCUGGGAAACUGGGUCUAAUACCACAUACGACCAUGGCGUAGGGGUCAUGGUGGAAAGCCUUGUGCGGUGUGGGAUGAGCCCGCGGCCUAUCAGCUUGUUGGUGGGGUAAUGGCCUACCAAGGCGGCGACGGGUAGCCGGCCUGAGAGGGUGGACGGCCACAUUGGGACUGAGACACGGCCCAGACUCCUACGGGAGGCAGCAGUGGGGAAUAUUGCACAAUGGGCGCAAGCCUGAUGCAGCGACGCCGCGUGGGGGAUGACGGCCUUCGGGUUGUAAACUCCUUUCGCCCGGGACGAAG